GGAAUCUCUGAUGGAAAAUUCCUAAGCAUACGUGGUUGCCAUCUUGCCAACGAGAGCAUCCAGUAGUCAAAAUGGUAUGGCUGCAUCUCCAUUACCGCUUCAAUGUCUUCCUCUCUCUCAAAGUGGAACUGAAACUUCCCCAUUCCCAAAUCAGCGCCCGUUACCCUCUCUUCCACCUUCCAAAUCUUUGGUAACAUUACCAAAAGCGCAUCGACCUUUUGCUUCUCCGGGUUCAUGCAUCGCCCCACCAAUGUCAAAGCAUAGCUCUUGAUCAGGUCCGAGUUAUCAAAGUGAGGAACGGAUAUCUUCAACCGCUUCCGAGCCAUCUCACCAUUCUUCAUAUCUCCCCCCGUACCUACUAGCUGGCCCUGAGUCAUUGAAAACAGAACCAAAAGCCACGAAAUGAAAAAAAUGUAGGUAUAUGUAUGACAAGUUGAAACUAUAGAACAACAGAACAAUGUCCAUCUCCUUUUAUAGCCAAAACUACUCCAGUCAAAAUUAUUCUCCCAAUCAAACCCAUUAAUACCAUAUCUGCUCCAAAUGAUUUCCAGAAUCACCACGAUCCCAAAUCCCCUCGUAACCAUCUUAACAAAAAUCUGAAACAAAAUCUCCAUAAUCUCCAAAAUUUCCUCAACACUCCCCAACCAAAUUCCUAUUUCCAAAACUUUACCAAAACAAUCCCGUAUAUUAGUAUUCCAAUCCAUCAGAUGGUAACAGAAGAAUAUCGUUUGACUAUUGAUGGUACUGAUACCUCCCAAAUCUGAUAGGUGAUUUACCAAAUUCCCAAUCUCCACCCCAUAUCGGGGAAGAUUCCAGAUCCGUUGAGCCAUCAUGAUAACUCUGAUCUCCUCGGUCUCUUGAGAUCUCCCAUAAAUUCCUAAAUGCCAUUCUCCUUUGAUACUCCCCAACGCCACAUUCGUAUCAUAGUGAUAGAGAUCCCUGCGAAUCCAUGUUAAUCCAAAAAUCCCCGGAUCCCAAUCCCGUAACCGCAUCGAACCCUAGAUAAUCGCCAUCGCCGUCGCUUUCUUUUAGAGAGAGUUUUUUACUGGAUAUACCUCCGUUUUUUACUGGGUUAACCCCUACGAAAAUAUUGAGUUUUUCGAUAAAUUCUCUAUAUACUGAAACCUAUGAUCUUUAGUGUUGUUUUAAAUUUUCUAAACACAUUCUUUAUUUUUAUUACUGCACUUCUUGCAUUUCUUGCUCCCCGUUGAUACCUGUUUCUAUCAUCUUGUACUUGAUACCUUGGUUGUUCCCAACGGGUAUUACGCGACCAUGCUCUUUCUUCCUCUCCUCUGUUGGGACCACGAUAGGAUGAGGGCCUCUUGCUUCCUCUUUCUGGAACCUUAACCCACUUCGACUCCGGUUCCUCAUACAUUUUUCCUUUACCUUUGCCAUAGUAAAUAUUAAUAUUCCAAUCCAUCAAAUGGUAACAGAAGAAUAUCGUUUGACUAUUGAUGGUACUCAUACCUCCCAAAUCUGAUAGAUGAUUUACCAAAUUCCCAAUCUCCACCCCAUAUCGGGGAAGAUUCCAGAUCCGUUGAGCCACCAUCAUAACUCUGAUCUCCUCGAUCUCUUGAGAUCUCCCAAAAAUUCCUAAAUGCCAUUCUCCUUUGAUACUCCCCAUCGCCACACUCGUAUCAUAGUGAUAGAGUUUUUGUUUCUAAUAUUUCCAACUUUUUUGUAGACCUAUUUACUUUAGAAACGUACAAAAGGAAUUCCAGGAUCGAACAUCGAUCAAGAUCAAGGUAACAUGUGUGAACUUUUUUUGACAUCUCAUGUGUAAACUUACGGGACUCCCUCCACUUUGAUCCAAAAAGGAAUCUCUGAUGGAAAAUUCCUAAGCAUACGUGGUUGCCAUCUUGCCAACGAGAGCAUCCAAUAGUCAAAAUGGUAUGGCUGCAUCUCCAUUACCGCUUCAAUGUCUUCCUCUCGCUCAAAGUGGAACUGAAACUUCCCCAUUCCCAAAUCAGCGCCCGUUACCCUCUCUUCCACCUUCCAAAUCUUAGGUAACAUUACCAAAAGCGCGUCAACCUUUUGCUUCUCCGGGUUCAUGCAUCGCCCCACCAAUGUCAAAGCAUAGCUCUUGAUCAGGUCCGAGUUAUCAAAGUGAGGAACGGAUAUCUUCAACCGCUUCCG
Molecule: long non-coding RNA, 2136 nt
Filed under: Brassica napus (rape)
Lineage: Eukaryota; Viridiplantae; Streptophyta; Magnoliopsida; Brassicales; Brassicaceae
Description: long non-coding RNA (BNAP_LNC008436)
Source: RNAcentral